Molecule: unclassified non-coding RNA, 444 nt
Filed under: soil metagenome
Description: partial internal transcribed spacer 1
Rfam family: 5.8S ribosomal RNA (bases 1-119)
Source: RNAcentral
GAUGAAGAACGUAGUGAAAUGCGAUACGUAAUGCGAAUUGCAGAUCUAGUGAAUCAUCGAGUCUUUGAACGCACAUUGCGCCCCCCGGCACUCCGGGGGGCUUGUCCGACCGAGCGCCGCAGCGCCGCCCAGGCCUCCCUCGCCCCCGCUGAGGACAGCGGGGGCGAGUGGGGGCCUGGUGUUGGGGCACGCCGACGCCCCAGAGCGUCGGCGGCCCUGAAAUCCAGCCGCGGCCGCCGCAGCCCCAGCGCGGCCUCCCCCUAGGCGCAGUACGUUCUCACCUGUAAAAGGGUGCUGCCGCCUGCGAGGGAGAGGUCCCUGCGACGGCCCGUCACCGGAUGGGGGGGUUAGGGCUCCGCCCGCCCGCCCGCCACCACGAACCCAGGUUGGCCUCGGGUCGGACAAGGUUACCCGCUGAACUUAAGCAUAUCAAUAAGCGGAGGA